CCUAACUUCAGGCGAUCCACCUGCCUCAGCCUCCCAAAGUUCUGGGAUUACAGGUGUGAGCCACCGCGACCGGCCAUAAUGUUAUGCUUUUGUAAGACUGGCAGCACCAAGAUUUGUUUAUACCAGCAUCAUCACAAACUUACUUUACCAAGCAGACGCUGCUGGAAAAACAAGAACUUUCCUUGUCUGCUGUUAAGAUGCCAGAAAAAUGAUGAAAAGAGCACAGUACCGAAAAUAAGAAGAGAGUAAAACCAUAAUAAGAAAGACAAGGAGAAGAAUAACAAAGUAGUGAAAUGUGAAACCAGAGUUUGAACCUCAGCAGUUUGAGCCCAACUCUGUGCUGGAGGGUGCACGGUGAUUAGGAACUGGCAUGGAUCCCCAGUGCAGCACAACUGCUUCACAGAAAAGUGUCUGUGUGUCUGGAGUUGGUUCCUUCCCAUGGGUUCAUUCGUGGUCUCGCUGACUUCAAGAAUGGAGCCGUGGACC
RNAcentral lists this long non-coding RNA (486 nucleotides) under Homo sapiens (human). Its description in RNAcentral is "HSALNT0334988". The record is from RNAcentral. Lineage: Eukaryota; Metazoa; Chordata; Mammalia; Primates; Hominidae.